RNAcentral lists this unclassified non-coding RNA (337 nucleotides) under Athalia rosae (coleseed sawfly). RNAcentral's name for it is "misc RNA ENSAEAG00005008953.1". The record is from RNAcentral. Lineage: Eukaryota; Metazoa; Arthropoda; Insecta; Hymenoptera; Athaliidae.
AAGUACUAGCUGUAUAUCGAUUUAUCAAGUCAUAAAUCGUUGUAUCGUAAAAAAGCUCGAAAUAUCGUCCAUGUACGUACGAUAAAUCUAAGCAUACCAUCUAUACCUUUCUCCAUUGCUUCCACUCUAUUAUUGCACCAGGUAUCUCAUGGAGUUGCGUUGUAACUUGUGCCCAAAUCGUUCGCCCAUUUUUAUAUGCAGAGCUGGCGGAAGACUUUCCACUCUAUAAUUCAGGAUGUUUACCCACGAAGUCUGUAAUUGAAAUACAUACGACAAAAUACUGUAUUUAGAGUUUAGUAAACACGAGUUAACAUCAGUUGGCCGAAAAUGUAUUUAG